AGCCGGCGUAUCCGAUUCCAGUAUGGAAAUACAAACAGACAAUGACACGCCCCUACUGAGAGAUAGGAUCUCUGAAAAACAAGCCGAUUUCAACCUCAAAAUGUACGCUUUUAAAUAAACCAAUACUCCUAUCUAAAACACGGAGAUGCUUCUUCAUGAUCUCAACUAACAGAUUCUGCAAAAAAACGAAAAUCACCAAUUUUGAAAAAAAAAAAGCGCUUCUUUCUCAGUUUGCUCAAUAGUUGUGCUGCCGACUUGUGUCCCUGGUUUCCGUGACGGGUCACAUAUUAGCAUAAGACAUUGGAUUGGAUGUAUGAGAGAAGAACCUUCUAGAUUCUUAUAAUAGUAUUGUGUCACAGAGUUAGCAACAUGUAACAUAAAUUACCAAAUAGGAAACGAAAGUUGGAGUCCAUUGAUACCAAACAUGCUACCCAUGUGAUUUUAGUUAACCAUAAUAUGCAACUCUGAAACAUUAAUACCAAAAGAGUUCAAAAGAGAGAAUUAAUACAUAGGCCAACCCUAUAAAAGGAAAACCAUGAGAUAGGAAAAUUGAAUACAUGUUUAUACAUUUUCAAGUGGUUAUAUAUAUAGAACAAUGAUUAAGACAAUGAUUAAGACCAGAGUCAUGAGUCUCUGCAAAUUCUUUCUAACUGUAAAAAGUUCUUAUCAGUUUUCCUGUGCCCUGUAACAGGACACCUAGUUAUGCCUGUGUGUUAGCUUCGUUUGGGAUUCUAGUAGCAGUUUUGGGGGAUGGGUUCACAGAACUUUGUAGGGAGAGUUUCCUGGAUUAUUCAUUAAAUAUAAUGAAUAAUUGUGUGUCUGAUUGGUCCAGACGCUACAAGGUCAUCAUGUUGAAAGGCAGAGAGAGUCACCUUGUUAGCCUGAUAAUGAGUAGAACAACUGGAGCAUGACACUAAACGCAUAAUCCCAUUCACUCUUGAACUCAGCAUGUGUGGGACACUGUGCAUCUUUAUAUUCUGUAGAUGUGUGUUAUAUGUGGAAUUCAUGUACAGCAUACAAAAGCAUGUUUUUUUUUUCUCUCUUUUACGUUUCAGUUUAUGGAGCAAAGUUUAAAUUUUUUCUUCUCUUUUAAAAUUCCCAUUAGGGUCCACCUGGCCCAAAAGGUGACAAGGUAAGAACCCUUUCAACAAUUUUUACAUCAACAAAUCACAUUUUUCAUAGCUUCACAAAUAUUUAACAUUCCAUAAUAUAAGUUUCUAUGGUUUCAACGAUGACAGUUUGAAUGUCAGAGCAGAGGGUGUUUUUUUUUUGUUUUUUUUAAAUAAACAUAUAAAUAUAAUGAUAUAAAAGUGGAAACUAAGAACAAAUGGGUGUGAUGUAAUUUUUAACAAAAUCUGGCCAUUUUGCAGGUGCUUUUGAAUUUGAUCUGGUGGUUUGACUCACUAGUGCAAACUGUUAGGCAACUUCAUACCAGCUGUUAAACACAAACUGCCAUUGGUCAGCGAUGAUGAUAUAAUAGAAAAUAUAUUUUCCAGUUUUAUUUCUUCACUGAAUUCAUCAUUUAGCUGGCUAACACAUGAUUGAAGAAUGAAGUGAAGAAGAGUGAAGAAUUUUUGAUUUGAGUAUACUGGAAUCAUUCUCAGCAAUUACCACCACUGUUAAAAUAGAGAAUAUAACACAAAUAGCACAAUGUCUUCUUCUCUGAUUCCAGCUGUAAGCAUUCUGGUCAAAUAUCAAAUGAUUUCUUCACUUUGUUCAUAAUUAGAUUUCAGAAUAAUUAUGAAUGGAUUUCAUUGGAGCUCUGCAGUCAGUCACUGCAUAUGGAAUGUCCCUGACCUCAAGGCUCAUUUUGGAAUAACUAAUCCACAGUGCAUUUAAUUAAUGCUUUCCCAGCAGGCCCUAAGCUCAGGUUUUUUAAUGCUUCACGGAACUCUCUAUAAAACAGAUGCCAAUGUUGAAAAACUAGUGAAUUGUGUCUUUACUAGUCCCUACAAGCAGUGACCAACCUUUAUCCUGUGCUGAAAGAUUAAAACCAAACAAGUGUUGGAGGUUCCUCACAUAUAAUGGAAAGAUGCUGUCAUUGCUUUGGUCAAGAUGGAGCUGCAAAUGUUUUUGGUAACACUUUACAAUAAGGUUUCAUUAGUUAACAUUAGUUAAUGUAUUACAGUUUUUCUCAGUUGAUUUGACACAUUUCUCCAAACUCGGAUCACUGUUCUCAAAACAGUUACCACAGUGAUCUGAACACUUUGUAAUUCUGCUAAACAGAUACAAAACUACAUUUUUAUUCAUUUUACACACAUUGCAAAUCACAUGAAUCAUUUUCUCAAAACACUGUGUACAAAGUUUUCAAAUGUUUUCAGGAAAAAAAACGAUUACAGCUUUUUUAUUGGUUUUACACAAUUCUCAAACAUUUAUGUACCAUUUGUCCAAACACAAUAAACAAAACUCUGGAAUUUGUCAUAUUAUCAAAUGUACUUGGUAUGUUUUAAAUUGGCCCCAAAAUGAUAACUGCUUGGUUAAUAAUACACUACACACAACACAGGGAAUUCAGUUUUCCUAUCGGUUCACACAUUUAUCACAAUUGCAUAAUGUAACAGGGAAAGUAUGAAAGGGAAAGUAUACAUAAAGCAAGAAAAGAAUAAGAGUAUGCAAGAGAAGGGGGAAAUAAAGAGGUGUAAGUGUAAAGUGGUGGUUUGGGUAGAGGAAGGGGUGUAAUUAGAAGGAAAGGAAGAGUGGAACAGAUAGAGGGAGAUCAUAUGAGGAGAGUGGAGGAUGUAAAAAAGGAAGAGAGGGAAAGAGAUGGGUGGAGGGCAUUGGUGUAAUGGAAAGAGCAGGGUAUACACCCCUAAUUAUUAAUCUUUGUUAAUGUUAAUAAAAAUACAGUCAUUCAUUGUCUGUUUGUUAAACAAAUGUUAACAAACACAACUUUUGAUUUUAAUAAUGUAUUGGUAAAUGUUGAAAUUAACAUUAAUUUAGAUUAAUUAAAGGAAUCUGCCUUAUAGAUUAGGGUGUGGUUUCAAGCUCUUGAGUUCGUCUCUGGGUCAUGUCCUUCCAUUCUGGAAUUGUGAAGGUGCUUCCUCAUUGAGGCAUGAUGGUUGGGCAGUAGCCGUAGGGAGAAGUGUCACAGACAGCUAGACUGGUGUGUACAAAUAAGGGAGUUUACUUCUAGUACAUCAGACUUAAAUUUUCCUGCCUAAAUUUAAAGAUCAGUAAGACAGAUAUGAGGACAAAAAGGAGAGCAACAGGGAAUAAGAUGAUAGAGAUCAGAAAGAGACUAAGUAGAGCAACAGGUAGGAGGAGGAUACAGAUCAAAAGGGGACAGAGAUAUGUAGUAUAUAUAAUGAGCUGCAUUUGUAGGUGUUAUUAUAGCAGAAUUCUUAACACACAGUUUUCAAACCAUGGUUACGACCAUGGCUAAGUGUAUCCUCUUUUGAAUGUACACUGUAAAAAAAAAGAUUUUUUGAACUUGUAAAUAAAGAUAGCAUAAUUUAAGUACAUUUUGCAAGCAAAUACUAUUUUGUCUUUUUACUUAAAAACGUCACGUUUAGUUCAAUAAGCUACUUGAGGUUUCGUUUUCAUUUAUUGUGCUUAAAUACAUAAGUACAUUCAAAUGGAACUGCCCAAGUAAUAUUUACUUAGUGUUCAUCUAAUGAACUAAUGCAAAAAAAUAACAAACGCAAGUAAAAGUUACUCCACAAAGCCAGGCAAUCUAUGCGCAUGCGCUCUUGGUCCCUGAAGUGGCGCGCAGCAGAGGCAGAGGAAAGCAACGGAAAAUUUUCUCGACGACUGAUGUGACUUUUACACAAUUGCACUCAAGGUCAUGCAAGACUCCAGAUCCAGCAGUUCCCAAGACACUGUUCUGCUAUCUUCGUCUGAGAGUUCCACAUCAUGCCGUUCUCAAGGAUGGCCAGCAAAGUUUAAAAUACCAACUUUCUCAUUUGAUACAGAGCUCUUGAUUUCAGAAGGAAACAAAGCCUACCAAAAGGAUGGCACCCUCUUGAACAAUCCAAGAGUAACAAGAAGUGUCCUUGAGACACUAGAGGGACAAUAUUUCGUUUCACGGCGUACCCAACAGGUGUCCAGAUUAUGAACGUAGUAGAGUUGUUGAUUGAAAAGUACCCACGCCUCAAAGAGCCAGGGUCCUUUAAUGGACAGUAUGGUUGGCAACAGAGGAUUAAAUAUAAGAUGGGCAAUUAUCGAGCAAAAUUAAGAGGCAGUCAACUUUCCUGCCCAGAGCUGGAGGUCAACUCUUUGAAAAGAAAGAAGACAAAUGAAAAGUCUUGCCCCAAAGGCAUGAAAACGCCCCAGGAAGGCUGAAGUAAAUUACUUGCCCCCAUUUCCAUUUGAGGAAACUGAGGAAACUUUAGAGAAGGAGAGAGUUGAUCUUCUUAAAGAAAUUCAGAAGAAAAACAACAAAAAGGUCAUCGGUGAGAAAAUGGAGAAGACUUCUCCUAUCGAAGAUUAGAAAUCAUUAAUCACUGCCCUGCUGUCAAAGAGGUGGACAGCUCUUUUUUGUGAAUCUGAGAUCAAGAAUGAGUUCAGAAGGAUAACCACAGUUCCCCUGGAGCCAACCUUUCUGCAAAAACUGGACCUCUACGCUCCAAAGCUCCUGGAUUUGUUUAAAAAGAAGGGUGGGGAUGCAGGCAUAAAAAUUAGAAGUGUGCUAGAUUCACUCUGCCAGCAAGUUAAGAUAAGAUAAGCGAGAUGCUGUGAUUCGCUGCCUGCUUUCCUACCUGGGAGAAUCAUCUGAGGAGCUCAUUGAAGACUACCAGAUGUCAGCAGAGACAUGAUUAAAGAUGGCUUCACCAAUCAUGUAAUGAAGAUCAUUGUACUGGGCAGCACUGCAGGAGAGGAAGAUGCCAACAUAGCUGACAUCAUCAUCGUCAUUGAGGGAACUGAGGUACUGUCAGGAUGUAAGAACCUCACAAAUGCGUGCCUUAUGCUCAUGGGCUUCAUUUACUCCCUGAACUUAAGCUAUCCUUCAAAGCAGAGAAACACAUUUGAAGUGUUUCAGAAAAUCUUUCUUGGGCUGGAUGCUUUAAAAUUUUCUCCAAAAGUUAGCUUUUUGCAUAGAAAGCUACUAAUAUAAGUCUUGGCCAUUUUGUUUGGUACUCGCACUUUUUGCUCAAUUGUUCCUCAAGUGAGAAUGUCCUCAAAAGUUUUGUUAAUGUAAAUAUGAGCAAAGUUUGUACUGUACUUUGUACAUUUUUGUCCAUUUGUUUUUUCAUUCCCUUUGUUUAUUAUGUGUUUCAAGAGUUUAACUGAAAUAAAAGUACUCAAGGAAAAUGUCUGUUAGUGUUUAUUUUUUUUUAUUUUUUUUUAAUUUAGAAAUACAUCACAAAUUAUAUUAAGUAAUGUUUAAAUAAUAUUUAAAGUAAAGGUUAAUCAGGAUGACUAAGAAAGAUAACUAGGACUCUUAAGUAAAAUAAAUGCAAUAAAUCAUAAUAUAUUUAUAAGCAUUACUUAAAUAAGAUUUACAAACAAAGUAAUCAAUAAUAUUUACUGGGAAUUCCCAAGUAAACUUAACUUAAAAAUUUCUAAUUAGCGCUACUAAUAAUUAUAUUUAGGCUUUUACUUGCCAAAUGUUUGUACAUUUACUAGCUUUUUCUGAGUGAAAAUUAUUUCCAAGCUUUUUUCAAGUAAAUGCUACUCCAAAAAUUUUUUCAGUGUACUUGGAAUCCAGGCAAUUAUACAAAUUGUGCUAUAAUUGUGCUACAAUGAGAUUGUUCCUCUCUCUGGAAAUCCAGGCUUGCAUCAUAUGUUAUUCAAGAAGUGAAAAACUUAGAGUUUCAAAAUUGGAUCCACUCGUUUAGAGAUUCAGGGCUCUCUACACCCCAGUACCCUAGUGAAAAAAAAGUAUACUUUAUUGUAUUUUAAAUAUAUUCCCUUUUUCUAUAGUACACUGCAAAUAUACUAACAAAAAAUGUACUAUCAUUAAAUAUAUAA
Megalobrama amblycephala (Wuchang bream) is the source of this 5907-nucleotide long non-coding RNA. RefSeq lists it as uncharacterized. The record is from RefSeq and is a predicted model, not a curated record. The transcript has 6 exons. NCBI's taxonomy places the organism in Eukaryota, Metazoa, Chordata, Actinopteri, Cypriniformes, Xenocyprididae.